This 175-nucleotide small RNA is filed under the name Mytilus galloprovincialis (Mediterranean mussel). It matches the Rfam family "5' ureB small RNA", at positions 132 to 292 of the family's 292-position model. The record is from RNAcentral. Lineage: Eukaryota; Metazoa; Mollusca; Bivalvia; Mytilida; Mytilidae.
CAAUCUGGAUUUCCAGCUUUUCCUAUUCCUGCAAUUUUACCAUCUUUAAUACCAAUGUCUGCUUUUACGAUACCAGCAAUAGCAUCUACCAACAAGGCAUUUGUGAUAACUGUAUCAAGUAUAUCCCAAUUCACGUUCAUUCUGUUUGAAGCUUGUCCCAUGCCUUCACGUAUUA